This 429-nucleotide ribosomal RNA is filed under the name bacterium. RNAcentral describes it as "partial 16S ribosomal RNA". It matches the Rfam family "Bacterial small subunit ribosomal RNA", at positions 355 to 776 of the family's 1533-position model. The record is from RNAcentral.
UAGGGAAUCUUCGGCAAUGGGGGCAACCCUGACCGAGCAACGCCGCGUGAGUGAAGAAGGUUUUCGGAUCGUAAAGCUCUGUUGUAAGAGAAGAACGUGUGUGAGAGUGGAAAGUUCACACAGUGACGGUAACUUACCAGAAAGGGACGGCUAACUACGUGCCAGCAGCCGCGGUAAUACGUAGGUCCCGAGCGUUGUCCGGAUUUAUUGGGCGUAAAGCGAGCGCAGGCGGUUUAAUAAGUCUGAAGUUGAAGGCAGUGGCUUAACCAUUGUUCGCUUUGGAAACUGUUAAACUUGAGUGCAGAAGGGGAGAGUGGAAUUCCAUGUGUAGCGGUGAAAUGCGUAGAUAUAUGGAGGAACACCGGUGGCGAAAGCGGCUCUCUGGUCUGUAACUGACGCUGAGGCUCGAAAGCGUGGGGAGCAAACAGG